RNAcentral lists this ribosomal RNA (88 nucleotides) under Allium schoenoprasum var. foliosum. The record is from RNAcentral. Lineage: Eukaryota; Viridiplantae; Streptophyta; Magnoliopsida; Asparagales; Amaryllidaceae.
CCAUCAGAACUCCGCAGUUAAGCUGUGCUUGGGCUGAAAGUAGUACUAGGAUGGGUGACCUCCUGGGAAGUCCUCGUGUUGCACUCCU